UUACGGCCACAUCACGUUGAAACAUCAGUUCCCGUACGAUCGCCGAAAUUAAGCAACGUCGAGCCUAGUCAGUACCUAGAUGGGUGACCGCUUGGAAAUACCAAGUGCUGUAA
This 113-nucleotide ribosomal RNA is filed under the name Acanthosepion pharaonis. Lineage: Eukaryota; Metazoa; Mollusca; Cephalopoda; Sepiida; Sepiidae. The record is from RNAcentral.